This 1445-nucleotide long non-coding RNA is filed under the name Pan troglodytes (chimpanzee). Its description in RNAcentral is "long non-coding RNA NONPTRT002254". The record is from RNAcentral. Lineage: Eukaryota; Metazoa; Chordata; Mammalia; Primates; Hominidae.
GAAGGAUCUCUCUGAGGCUGAUUGUCUGGGUUCUGGCAUCAGCCUCUGAUGGAGAAUCAGGUCUCCCUGUGGGAGGAGUCAGACGAGGAGUGAUCCUCUGCUCCGUCCUUAUGGGUUUAGUUGUGAUGAGCUGGUGAGGUCUGGUUUUCCACACUGAACUAAAAUGAGCUUUCGCUAUGUCAGGCAAAAGACUGACCCCAGAAGCACACAUAGCGCAUCUCAUAGAAGCUUUUAAUAGUUCAUAUUUACUAAAGAAUAGGAAUACAGAGCGAUGAAGAUGAGCUGGAAACGACAGGUGACUUGCCAGCAGGCCAGAAUGUGCUUUUUCUUUGUCCCAUGGAAGGUGUUAAUUCUCCCUCCAGUUGUGAGGAUCAGUUGGUUCAUUUAUGGGAAGGUUGUCAGGGGACCUUUGAAUCACGGCCUUCAGAUGCCGCAAGGAACCCCACACAGGCCAGUGGAUCACGUGCAUGCAUUUCUCUCCCUUCUCGACUCAGGAAGCUGAGAAUGAAAGAACGUGAACGAGAAGAAAAGGAGAGGCGGCUGUCAGAGGUGGAAGAAACCAUGAAAUUGGCUCUAGAAAAAAUACCCAUCUGCAAGUGGGUUCAGAAACCGACACCAGCCUCUUGGGAAAGCGCUGGUGGAGUGUUUUGUUUUAAAUCUUUGUACAAUGUUUAGACCCAGUUAACACAGAAAUGGAAACAAAUGGUCAGAAGCGAUACCUAGAGAGAGAGACAAUUCACACAAGAGAACACAAGUACCUUAAGAUUUACUAGUGUUCAAAACAUGUGAAGUAGCCAAACAUCUCCUGACUGCAAUGCCAGCCAGACUGUGUGGAAACUUGGUUCAUACCAGCCGUUCUAGGGGUGAUGUGAGUUGUCAUCAUCCUUAGGAAAGUGUGUUGUUGUAGGAUCAACCCAUCCUUCAAAAGGACUGUGCCUGUUUAUAAGCUCAGCUGUUUCUGCCCUGUGAAAUAUGGCAAGGAUAUUAAUUCCAGGAGAAUAGAGCUUUAUGAUAAAAGAUGCCCAAUGAAGCAUGAAUUAGGGACAUACUGAAAAUGGGUAAGGAAAUUGUCAACUCAGAACCCAGCAGGCAUUAAGUAAAAGAGGAGGAAGCAUUACAGCAACAGUUUUGAUCAUACUGUACUUUUAUAGCCAUGUGAAAUACAUUUUCUAUGUAUAGAUAGAUUGUGUAAGGGUACAAUUGUGAGGACAACAGGAACAUGGCAGAUUAUUUAAAAUCAUACUAAAGAUGAUACUUUGUCUGAUGAAAGUGAUUCUAAACCAUAGAAAAACGAUUCAAGACAGACAAGAGCUGCAGCAGUGGGUAGAGGACUCCUACAGAUGAGAGAUCGCCCCUUCUGCUGCAAGAAAGGCCCUCAACAACUGGGUAAGUUUGUUCUUUUUUCCCUUGCUUUUCGGCCAAGUCGGGACAUGGAUGUAUUUUUC